GCGAGCGUUAAUNGGAAUUACUGGGCGUAAAGCGAGCNCAGACGGUUACUUAAGCAGGAUGUGAANUCCCCGGGCUCAACCUGGGAACUGCGUUNUGAACUGGGUGACUAGAGUGUGUCAGAGGGAGGUAGAAUUCCACGUGUAGCAGUGAAAUGCGUAGAGAUGUGGAGGAAUACCGAUGGCGAAGGCAGCNUCCUGGGAUAACACUGACGUUCAUGCUNGAAAGCGUGGGUAGCAAACAGGAUUAGAUACCCUGGUAGUNCACGCCCUAAACGAUGUCAAUUAGCUGUUGGGCAACUUGAUUGCUUAGUAGCGUAGCUAACGCGUGAAAUUGACCGCCUGGGGAGUACGGUCGCAAGAUUAAAACUCAAAGGAAUUGACGGGGACCCGCACAAGCGGUGGAUGAUGUGGAUUAAUUCGAUGCAACGCGAAGAACCUUACCUGGUCUUGACAUGUACGGAAUCCUCCAGAGACGGAGGAGUGCCUUCGGGAGCCGUAACACAGGUGCUGCAUGGCUGUCGUCAGCUCGUGUCGUGAGAUGUUGGGUUAAGUCCCGCAACGAGCGCAACCCUUGUCAUUAGUUGCCAUCAUUUAGUUGGGCACUCUAAUGAGACUGCCGGUGACAAGCCGGAGGAAGGUGGGGAUGACGUCAAGUCCUCAUGGCCCUUAUGACCAGGGCUUCACACGUCAUACAAUGGUCGGUACAGAGGGUAGCCAAGCCGCGAGGUGGAGCCAAUCUCACAAAACCGAUNGUAGUCCGGAUUGCACUCUGCAACUCGAGUGCAUGAAGUCGGAAUCGCUAGUAAUCGCAGGUCAGCAUANUGCGGUGAAUACGUUCCCGGGUCUUGUACACACCGCCCGUCACACCAUGGGAGUGGGGGAUACCAGAAGUAGGUAGGGNAACCGCAAGGAGCCCGC
Molecule: ribosomal RNA, 918 nt
Filed under: uncultured bacterium
Lineage: Bacteria
Description: bacterial SSU rRNA
Rfam family: Bacterial small subunit ribosomal RNA
Source: RNAcentral